This 101-nucleotide signal recognition particle RNA is filed under the name Roseicitreum antarcticum. Its description in RNAcentral is "Bacterial small signal recognition particle RNA". It matches the Rfam family "Bacterial small signal recognition particle RNA". Rfam says of the family: The signal recognition particle (SRP) is a universally conserved ribonucleoprotein involved in the co-translational targeting of proteins to membranes. Lineage: Bacteria; Pseudomonadati; Pseudomonadota; Alphaproteobacteria; Rhodobacterales; Paracoccaceae. The record is from RNAcentral.
AUGAGAGGUUGGCGCGGGCGAAUGCCUUGUGAACCCGGUCAGGUCCGGAAGGAAGCAGCCGCAGCAAUUAUCAUUCGGGUCGCUGUCCAGCCUCUCACCCU